Long non-coding RNA from Magallana angulata, 2900 nucleotides. RefSeq lists it as uncharacterized. Lineage: Eukaryota; Metazoa; Mollusca; Bivalvia; Ostreida; Ostreidae. The record is from RefSeq and is a predicted model, not a curated record. The transcript is spliced from 2 exons.
UUGGAUGUGAGAAUGAAAACAAAGGAUUUCAAACAUAUUCAGUAUAAAUUUCGGGGAUGGUAGUUGCAAUCACCAUCUUGACCAACUAACCUCAAUGGAUAUCGUAUGACAUUUAUAGAUUUAAGUACCACAUUAAGCUCUCAAAUUAAUUCUAAGGUCAUAUUGCAUGGGUUUUCCUUUAAUCGAGUCAUUUUGUCUGGCUUUUAAGAAAUUCUAUGACACAACGGCCCCGUUAUAAGGAGUUGUAAGAAAAGACGUAUCGUUUGUAUGUAUCUAUUUUCUACAGCUCUGUCAUAAUUACUGUGAGAACUUUUUUCAUUGUGUUCUGAACAUUGUUAGAAUGUUGAUGAUUUUUCACCAAGUGAAAAGAACAAUAAAGGAUGCCUUAUCUCAACCAAGAGGUGAUAUUGACAGACUAAGUUGGUACAAUUUUUGUUCAAGCGUGUUUUAUAUGUUUUUAUGUAACAAAACUUGUUGUACCUUAACUCUUUAAUGUUAAACUGGUCGUUUAUGCAUGCUUGUACCAAUACAUAGCAAAUGUUUAUAUUUCCUCUUCUUUUUUAAGGCACAUUCAUUAUUAAAAGUGAAAUAACAGGAUUUCACAGGUGUAUUAGUCGAUUAGGGAGACAUUGCUGUCGGCGACAUCCUUGGGUUAGGAUAAUAUUAUGCUAAUUGUAGAGACAUAAUAAGGAAAUUCCGACCUAACAGUUUUAUAGGAGUUUUGGUAUUGGAUUCCAGGACUUAAUACCGGGAUAGUACCAAAAUAGUUCCGUAAAGUUUGAAUCAUCUCUUAAUUAUUUGAAAUUUCAUCUGAAAAAUAUUGUGUAACUUAACAUCAAUAAAAACAGUUUUUAAACCGCAUCCGCUUAGUUAUACUUGUUUUAAUUGUACAAAUGUUUGAGGGUUAUUAAGAUUAAGCAUUGAAUUCCGUUUUUAGAUUUCACCGGCCUUCACGGAGUAUUCGCAUGCCAUCAAACUUAUAUAUAUUCAUUCUAUUUUCUAUUAACCAUUACAAUAACAACAGUUGAUUACGUUUCGAACACUUAAGGUCUGGCUUGAUAACCGGGGUAUGCAUUUAUGCAUUGCUGUGUUUUGUCUAUCGUAUUAUUCAGUCCCUUAAUUUUAAGUCCCCAAACAAAAGUUCCUGAAUUACAUAGGUGAAAUUAUAAGCACGAUGCAUUGACAAUAAUGAAAAAAGAAAAAAAAAACUCCAAGAAAUCCAAAGAAUGCACAAUGUAAAUUGAAAGCACAAGACUAAUUAAUUUCAUAAUAGGAACACUUACGCGAAUCAUUCUUUAUCCUUACUAAUUACCUUUUCUAUGUUUGUUACAACCACACACUAAAAAAGCAGCGCCUUAUCAAAAGUACUCGCCAUUUUGAAUUCAAAAUGAUAACUUUAUUAGUGAAAAAAAAAUUCUCAACUUAUAAUACAUAAUGAAUAAUUAUGAUAUUUUGGUUAAAUGUCUAUCAACUUUUGCUGAAAACAUCCGUAAUUAAUACAUUCAUAUCGUCUGCACUACGAAAAAAAUAUUCCCUGUCUGAUUCAGUAUUUUGUAAUUUUUAUUGUUUUGACUACAUAAUUUAGUCUUAUGUUUGCAUUAACACAGAUAUGAAUGCAAUUUAACUGCGUCGUUACUCUGUUUUCUAACAUUCACUCAUAUUACAUAAACUGCGCAGUAGAGUAAUCUUCUGCUUGUUACUACGUUUGGAUUUUCUCAAUUGCUCUUACAUUUUAAUUAUAUAUAAAAUGACCUAAAACCCACAUAAAUUUUUAAGAUGACUCCUACUUUAACUUUAAAGAUCCCCAAUUGACCGACUUGCAAUCUUCUGCACUUAACUGAAUUAGACCACAUCUUUUAAGAACAGUAAACAAUGUGCAUGCCUUUUUCAGUUUAACCCAUUGUUUUACGUAAACAAUUUGCUUUCAUGCAUAGUACAUUAAUUACAAUCAUUCCAGAUGAAUAUAUUCCACAUGCAGAUCCUAAAUAUAGUGAUACGGUAUAUCAUGAUUAUUCCUAGAGAAAUUAUUAUAGGCCAUGAAAAUGACUACCUUCCGUUCAGAAGACAGCAAAGAAACAAACGGAAAUGCAACUAUUUAGCAUCUUUUCGUGAGCGACAUUGUCAUGCAUUUUGUCUUCUAUAAUAUAUAUUUUGUUUUCAGAUGAAACAGAAUGAAAGAAAGAGAUACAAUUUGAAUUUUACUUGAGGAGGAAGUUGGAUUUCUUAAAUCGACUACAUCUGAACCAGUUUUUAUAGAUCAAAAUAUUAAUAAGUGUAUUAAUCUAAAAGAUAAAUAUUUCAUAAUAUUGAGAAUGUAUGUGCAAAACAUUUUUUUCUAUUAUGUCGAUAUCGGAUAGACUAAUAUUGUCUUUCUGUUGAUAACCAUCGUACAACGGAGUCAACCAAUCGCGCUUGGAACUUAAGUGUCACGUGGUGCAGGUCUAAUGCUAUUACUUUUCAGUGUUGUUCUACAUUUAAAUACUAGCAGUCCACCAUGUUCUCUCGGAGGAUUUGUUAUCUUUUGCUCAUUUUAAGCACAAUGCUUUCUUUUCACCUUGUGGAGGGGAUUUUGGAAAAUGUGCUAGCCCGUUCUACAAAUGAGGAUAGAGAAGGCAGUAUCUACGACAUUGGACCUAUCCGAAGGCCAAAACCUAGACCAAGACCUGAGGGUUAACAUUGCAGACGUACAAGACAUUAACUUUGAAUUGACACGUGGAUAUGUCAUGGAUUAUUUCGAUUGGAUUUAAUGAUGUCUAUAUAUUUCUCUUUUAAAUAUCUUUUAAUGUUCACAAGUAUAAUAUUUUUGACUUCGUUUUGAUGAAAAGAAAAGCAUUCCUUCUUACAUGAAUUUGUUUAUGCAUAUUAUUACUAUUUCGAAUAAAGAAGGUGGUUCUAAAGUA